RNAcentral lists this ribosomal RNA (465 nucleotides) under Vreelandella stevensii. RNAcentral describes it as "partial 16S ribosomal RNA". It matches the Rfam family "Bacterial small subunit ribosomal RNA", at positions 338 to 795 of the family's 1533-position model. The record is from RNAcentral. Lineage: Bacteria; Pseudomonadati; Pseudomonadota; Gammaproteobacteria; Oceanospirillales; Halomonadaceae.
CCUACGGGAGGCUGCAGUGGGGAAUAUUGGACAAUGGGGGCAACCCUGAUCCAGCCAUGCCGCGUGUGUGAAGAAGGCCCUCGGGUUGUAAAGCACUUUCAGUGAGGAAGAACGCCUGGUGGUUAAUACCCAUCAGGAAAGACAUCACUCACAGAAGAAGCACCGGCUAACUCCGUGCCAGCAGCCGCGGUAAUACGGAGGGUGCGAGCGUUAAUCGGAAUUACUGGGCGUAAAGCGCGCGUAGGUGGCUUGAUAAGCCGGUUGUGAAAGCCCCGGGCUCAACCUGGGAACGGCAUCCGGAACUGUGAAGCUAGAGUGCAGGAGAGGAAGGUAGAAUUCCCGGUGUAGCGGUGAAAUGCGUAGAGAUCGGGAGGAAUACCAGUGGCGAAGGCGGCCUUCUGGACUGACACUGACACUGAGGUGCGAAAGCGUGGGUAGCAAACAGGAUUAGAUACCCUGGUAGUC